Molecule: ribosomal RNA, 664 nt
Filed under: uncultured Gammaproteobacteria bacterium
Lineage: Bacteria; Pseudomonadati; Pseudomonadota; Gammaproteobacteria
Description: bacterial SSU rRNA
Rfam family: Bacterial small subunit ribosomal RNA
Source: RNAcentral
GCUGGCGGCAGGCCUAACACAUGCAAGUCGAGCGAGAAAGGUUUUCGGACUGAGUAAAGCGGCGGACGGGUGAGUAACGCGUAGGAAUCUACCCAGUAGUGGGGGACAACUUAGGGAAACUUAAGCUAAUACCGCAUACGCCCUGAGGGGGAAAGCGGGGGAUCUUCGGACCUCGCGCUAUUGGAAGAGCCUGCGUUAGAUUAGCUAGUUGGUGGGGUAAAGGCUCACCAAGGCGACGAUCUAUAGCUGGUCUGAGAGGAUGAUCAGCCACACUGGGACUGAGACACGGCCCAGACUCCUACGGGAGGCAGCAGUGGGGAAUAUUGCGCAAUGGGCGAAAGCCUGACGCAGCCAUGCCGCGUGUGUGAAGAAGGCCUUCGGGUUGUAAAGCACUUUCAAUUGGGAGGAAGGGUUUAACGUUAAUAGCGUUGAAUCUUGACGUUACCUUUAGAAGAAGCACCGGCUAACUCCGUGCCAGCAGCCGCGGUAAUACGGAGGGUGCGAGCGUUAAUCGGAAUUACUGGGCGUAAAGCGCGCGUAGGCGGUUUGUUAAGUCGGAUGUGAAAUCCCCGGGCUCAACCUGGGAACUGCACCCGAUACUGGCCGACUUGAGUGCGAGAGAGGGAGGUAGAAUUCCAUGUGUAGCGGUGAAAUGCGUAGAUAU